GACCUGCCGCGCGCACGCGCACGGCGUCCGGACCCGCCGCCUCGCUCCGGCUUGGCCCCGCCCUCCGGAGCCGUGUUCCCGCCCCUCACUGCCCCGCCGAAGCCCGGUGACCCGAGGCCUUGCCCCAUUCUCCAAGCGAGAUUGGAUGGUUUGUCCAAUACAAAAGGAAAGAAAGUAGUUUUCCAAGGUUAUGGAAUAAUUCAGGGAAGACUUUUCUAUAAGAACCACCCGGAGGGAAUUAUCUCCCCGUACUCCCUGGACCAUGCCCUGCGGUCCUGUGUUAAGUAAGCUGCAAAAGUGAACAAAAAAGUUUUGUCUCCUCAAGUUGGCUGAAAGUGUGGCAGCCCAUCGUUGGUCACUGCCUUACUUAUGGAUCUCAGGUUGUUGGUUUAGCGUCCCUGAUAAGCAUAAAUGAUGUUUACUACGUGGCGUUCAGGAAAAGGAUGAGAACAGCAAACAGGCAAAGGAGUUCUUUCUCCAGCCCACCCACUCGUACCGAUGUCCCAUGGCCCUUCCUGGACGGAAAGAGUCUUACAGGGGUUCAAACAAGCCAUACGCUGAGAUGGGAUUUAGAGUAUGUAGCUCUUCCAGAAACUCGGGAUAUCAAUUUAGUGUGUAGGUACUCAUCAAAGCACGUUGCAGUAUAAUUAAUGCUACCUAGCUUUUAUCAGAUCUCUAAUGGGAAAGCUUGCAUUUAAGAAUACUGGGCAGGGGGCGGUGGCUCACGCCUGUAAUCCAAGCACUUUGGGAGGCCGAGGCAGGUGGAUCACCUGAGGUCAGGAGUUUGAGACCAGCCGGGCCAACGUGGUGAAACCCUGUCUCUACUAAAAAUACAAAAUUAGCCAGGUGUGGCGGCACACGCCUGUAAUCCCAGCUACUCGGGAGGCUGAGACAGGAGAAUUGCUUGAACCCGGGAGGCGGAGGUUGCAGUGAGCCAAGAUCGCGCCAUUGCACUCCAGCCUGGGGGACAAGAGCGAGACUUCGUCUCAAAAAAAAAAAAAAAAAAAGAUGUAAUGUUCUUACAUGAUGCCACUAUCUCCUUCUUACGCCUAGUUUCAUAAUGACUAAUAAAAUGAAGUUUACUUUUAUCAAUUGGAAAAGCCUGCCAGCUUCUUUUGUCUUUUCCAGGGAAUGAAAGGAAUUAUGUAAUAAUUUCAGGAUCAUAAAGAAUAAUGUUUCAUGCCAGGUUUUUGCCCAUUAAACUGAGCCAACAUAGUUAAGGGAACAGCUAGUCGUAACUCAGAGAAAUUUGUGAUUAUUAAUAUCAAGUUUCUGUUUGUUUUUUGGUAAUGAAACUUUAAUAGGAAAUGAAGGCAAGGAGUGUGUCACAGUCAGCAGUGAUGUUGCAGAGAAGGAAUCUUCCUAUUUAUCAUUUAAACAAUAUUAUUUCCUUUUUUUUUUUUGAUAAGAGUCUCGCUCUGCUGCCCAGGCUAGAGUGCAGUGGUGCAAUCUUGGUGCACUGCAGCCUCUGCUUCCCAGGCUCAAGCGAC
Molecule: long non-coding RNA, 1490 nt
Filed under: Homo sapiens (human)
Lineage: Eukaryota; Metazoa; Chordata; Mammalia; Primates; Hominidae
Description: HSALNT0353651
Source: RNAcentral